CCCCAGAAGGUACCACUGUAUCACCAGAAAGUGAAGUCACUGGGAGGAAAACAGGCACCACUGGGGUAGCUCCUGGCACAACUGUUGCCCCAGGCAGUUCCAAAACAGAGGCCACAACUUUCCUUGGGGAAAGGGAAACAACUACCAUUGGAGUAGCGACAGGUAAGUGCUCUA
Pipistrellus kuhlii (Kuhl's pipistrelle) is the source of this 174-nucleotide long non-coding RNA. RefSeq lists it as uncharacterized. NCBI's taxonomy places the organism in Eukaryota, Metazoa, Chordata, Mammalia, Chiroptera, Vespertilionidae. The record is from RefSeq and is a predicted model, not a curated record. The transcript is spliced from 3 exons.